AUUGAACGCUGGCGGCAGGCUUAACAUAUGCAAGUCGAGCGGAGAGAGGUAGCUUGCUACUGAUCUUAGCGGCGGACGGGUGAGUAAUGCUUAGGAAUCUGCCUAUUAGUGGGGGACAACAUUUCGAAAGGAAUGCUAAUACCGCAUACGUCCUACGGGAGAAAGCAGGGGAUCUUCGGACCUUGCGCUAAUAGAUGAGCCUAAGUCGGAUUAGCUAGUUGGUGGGGUAAAGGCCUACCAAGGCGACGAUCUGUAGCGGGUCGGAGAGGAUGAUCCGCCACACUGGGACUGGGGCACGGGCCAGACUCCAUCGGGUGGCAGCAGUGGGGAAUAUUGGACAAGGGGCGGAAGCCUGAUCCAGCCAUGCCGCGUGUGUGAAGAAGGCCUUAUGGUUGUAAAGCACUUUAAGCGAGGAGGAGGCUACUUUAGUUAAUACCUAGAGAUAGUGGACGUUACUCGCAGAAUAAGCACCGGCUAACUCUGUGCCAGCCGCCGCCGUAA
This 501-nucleotide ribosomal RNA is filed under the name uncultured bacterium. Its description in RNAcentral is "partial 16S ribosomal RNA". It matches the Rfam family "Bacterial small subunit ribosomal RNA", at positions 30 to 523 of the family's 1533-position model. The record is from RNAcentral.